This 265-nucleotide ribosomal RNA is filed under the name uncultured bacterium. Its description in RNAcentral is "partial 16S ribosomal RNA". The record is from RNAcentral.
CUGCUGCCUUCCGUAGGAGUCUGGUCCGUGUCUCAGUACCAGUGUGGGGGACCUUCCUCUCAGAACCCCUACGCAUCGUCGCCACGGUGGGCCGUUACCCCGCCGUCUAGCUAAUGCGCCGCAUGCCCAUCCUCUUCCGAUGAAUCUUUCCUCGAUCUCGGAUGCCCGAAACCGAUAUACGCGGGAUUAGCCUCCCUUUCGGAAGGUUGUCCCCCUGAAGAGGGCAGGUUGCAUACGUGUUACUCACCCGUGCGCCGGUCGCCGG